AAAUUUAGGAUCAAAUCUUUAAACCGAAGGCCUUCAAAGCCUUAAACAAGAGCCACCACCCUCUUAAUUUCU
This 72-nucleotide transfer RNA is filed under the name Cnemaspis caudanivea. RNAcentral's name for it is "tRNA-Trp". The record is from RNAcentral. Lineage: Eukaryota; Metazoa; Chordata; Lepidosauria; Squamata; Gekkonidae.